This is a non-coding RNA of Thermoplasmatales archaeon, 85 nucleotides long. NCBI's taxonomy places the organism in Archaea, Methanobacteriati, Thermoplasmatota, Thermoplasmata, Thermoplasmatales. The record is from Rfam.
GCGGGGGUUGCCGAGCCAGGUUAAAGGCGAUGGACUCAAGAUCCAUUCUCGUAGGAGUGCCGGGGUUCAAAUCCCUGCCCCCGCA